GGGCCCGUAGCUCAGUCUGGUAGAGCACCGCCCUUUUAAGGCGGGUGUCGUUGGUUCGAGUCCAACCGGGCUCA
RNAcentral lists this transfer RNA (74 nucleotides) under Candidatus Omnitrophota bacterium. Its description in RNAcentral is "Candidatus Omnitrophica bacterium tRNA-Lys". It matches the Rfam family "tRNA". Rfam says of the family: Transfer RNA (tRNA) molecules are approximately 80 nucleotides in length. Their secondary structure includes four short double-helical elements and three loops (D, anti-codon, and T loops). The record is from RNAcentral. Lineage: Bacteria; Pseudomonadati; Candidatus Omnitrophota.